Molecule: ribosomal RNA, 497 nt
Filed under: uncultured bacterium
Lineage: Bacteria
Description: partial 16S ribosomal RNA
Rfam family: Bacterial small subunit ribosomal RNA
Source: RNAcentral
GAUGAACGCUGGCGGCGUGCCUAAUACAUGCAAGUCGAGCGAACAGACGAGGAGCUUGCUCCUCUGACGUUAGCGGCGGACGGGUGAGUAACACGUGGAUAACCUACCUAUAAGACUGGGAUAACUUCGGGAAACCGGAGCUAAUACCGGAUAACAUAUUGAACCGCAUGGUUCAAUAGUGAAAGACGGUUUUGCUGUCACUUAUAGAUGGAUCCGCGCCGCAUUAGCUAGUUGGUAAGGUAACGGCUUACCAAGGCGACGAUGCGUAGCCGACCUGAGAGGGUGAUCGGCCACACUGGAACUGAGACACGGUCCAGACUCCUACGGGAGGCAGCAGUAGGGAAUCUUCCGCAAUGGGCGAAAGCUUGACGGAGCAACGCCGCGUGAGUGAUGAAGGUCUUCGGAUCGUAAAACUCUGUUAUUAGGGAAGAACAAAUGUGUAAGUAACUAUGCACGUCUUGACGGUACCUAAUCAGAAAGCCACGGCUAACUACGUG